GUGACGUUCCGUCACGUACUACACGUCAGUCCAUUGGAUUUCGGAGGCGUGGUCUAUCUUGCUCCUCUAGGAUCUUUGGUCCAGAUUUCCAGCAAUCUUUUAUACAAAAGAGAGCAGCACUGACCUUUUCUAACAGCAGCCACUACUUUGGGGUUGAGGUCAAGCCGCCACCAGUCCAUCCCGCGCCCGACCACCCGCGCAGGUCGCUAACGGCCGCAGCGCGCGCCGGCUCACGUGCCGAGUCACGUGCGAGCUCUCCGCCAAUCCGCGGGUGGCGGCCGGGCCGAGCAAAGCAAAGAUCUUAUAGCGGAGCAAGAUAGGCUACUCCUGCUAAAUGCAAUGGGCUGAAGGUACACAAAAUUGCUGGAGAAACUCAGCGGGUGCAGCAGCAUCUAUGGAGCGAAGGAAAAAGGCGACGUUUCGGGCCGAAACACUUCUGUAUGGGCUGACGUGUAGUACGCUACGGAGGGGAUCCUGGGCAUUUUACCCCGCCCAUUUUAGUAACCAGAGCCUACCCGACCCGACUCGACUCGCAGUGUAAUCAAUGAACAGCUUGUGUGUGUGAUAUAGGGUUAGAUUCAUCAUUCUGUCAGUUCAUACUUCUUGUCAAGAAUAAAAUUUGACUGGUAAUUGUCUUUUUUAAUAUAUUUUAAAUCAUUUAUUUUUAAAUGGCUCACAAGCAGUGUUUGAGUUGAUUUUGUAGUAACCGGAACCGACCCGACUCGCAGGGUAAUUGACAUUGCGGUGGAAGUUUUUCUGUGAUAUAGGGUUAGAUUCAUAAUUCUGUUAGUUCAUAAUGCUGUUAAUUCUUGUUAAAGAAUAAAAUGUUUAUAAACA
Leucoraja erinaceus (little skate) is the source of this 837-nucleotide long non-coding RNA. RefSeq lists it as uncharacterized. The record is from RefSeq and is a predicted model, not a curated record. NCBI's taxonomy places the organism in Eukaryota, Metazoa, Chordata, Chondrichthyes, Rajiformes, Rajidae. The transcript has 2 exons.